RNAcentral lists this ribosomal RNA (460 nucleotides) under uncultured bacterium. RNAcentral describes it as "partial 16S ribosomal RNA". It matches the Rfam family "Bacterial small subunit ribosomal RNA", at positions 338 to 795 of the family's 1533-position model. The record is from RNAcentral.
CCUACGGGUGGCAGCAGUGAGGAAUAUUGGACAAUGGACGUAAGCCUGAACCAGCCAAGUCGCGUGAGGGAUGAAGGUUCUAUGGAUCGUAAACCUCUUUUAUAAGGGAAUAAAGUGUGGGACGUGUCCUAUUUUGUAUGUACCUUAUGAAUAAGGAUCGGCUAACUCCGUGCCAGCAGCCGCGGUAAUACGGAGGAUCCGAGCGUUAUCCGGAUUUAUUGGGUUUAAAGGGUGCGUAGGCGGCCUUUUAAGUCAGCGGUGAAAGUCUGUGGCUCAACCAUAGAAUUGCCGUUGAAACUGGGGGGCUGGAGUAUUGUUGAGGCAGGCGGAAGUCGUGGUGUAGCGGUGAAAUGCUUAGAUAUCACGCAGAACCCCGAUUGCGAAGGCAGCCUGCCAAGCCAUGACUGACGCUGAUGCACGAAAGCGUGGGGAUCAAACAGGAUUAGAUACCCCAGUAGUC